This 2918-nucleotide long non-coding RNA is filed under the name Solanum tuberosum (potato). RNAcentral describes it as "long non-coding RNA (STUB_LNC001360)". The record is from RNAcentral. Lineage: Eukaryota; Viridiplantae; Streptophyta; Magnoliopsida; Solanales; Solanaceae.
AACCAUUGAUUUAGGAAUAGCUCCAAGCAAGCUUGAAUCUUAUCAGGGUGGAGAUAUCGAGAGUAUAGAUCCCAUGGAGAGAUUAAAAUCUGUGAAAGGUCAUCUUGUUUCCUUCCCUUUGGAUUUUAUGUGCAAAGAAGAUUUAAGACCUGUGUUUAAUGAAAGUGAGUACUAUGCAUCUGCUCAAGUUUUUCAUUAAAGCUUCUCGUCUUAUGGACUACACAAAUCAGAAAAAUUAUCAAGUGUCUCAGUGGGUUAUGCGUUCUACAGAAAUUCUAUAGGACACCAUUUCAGAGCAUACAAUUUCCCGCUUUCUUAUUUUGACUGUGUUCUGUAUCACAACAUUGUAUAAAAGUGGCGAUACACACUUGUGAAGCUAUUUGUUGAAUACUGAGGAAGGUGCACACAUACUAAGAUAAGCUUUAUGUUACUAGCAAAAGAGGAUAGAAUUGUUGAUAAUUGUGCUCACUUAGGCCAAUAGGUUCACACUUGACAGGCUCAGAGGUCAAUUUGACUGUUGGAUUUCUGUAACGCAUGGUUCAUAGCCAAGUGUUUUGAGCUACUAUAGGAUCUUUUCCAAUUGAUUCAGUUUUGACUGAACAUUUUGGGUAGAUGAGCUCUCUCUACAGUAAAUAGUUUUUUGGUUACAUUAUCCUCCAUACUCCGCAUUUAUGAUUGAACACUGCAGCAGCUGUUUUCUGUUCACUUAUAAUUUAUGCAAUGUAGAGAGAUAAUGCGUUAUCUGUUGGGAGCAAUUUCUAUUUGAGCUCCUGGGUUUUGCUUUGCGAAGCACUUUAGGUUGUAUAAUCCAUUCAUAUCAACAAUCAUAUGAAGUACCAUUUCUAUUAUACUAGAUGGGCACGGCACGGGCCCAACAUGUGCAUUUGUGUAUCUUCAACUUUUUUUGAUUUAAAAUGCUGAAAAGGAAAAUUUGAGCUUUGAUUAUGAUUGUCAUUGCAUAAUGCAUAAAAACAUAUGUAAAAGAAAUUUUAUCAUCGUUGUAGUUCCAGUUAAAUAACAGGAGCUCAAAAACUAAAUAUAUCUUCUAUAGUUGAUGCAAAGGAACUUUCAUCCAUUCAAAUGUCUUCCCUGCAUAAGAGUUGUGCAAAUCAAAGUUUUGACCAAAAACUUGAAGCAAAUCUUAAUUGUUAACAAUAUAAACUUAUUUUUUUAAUAUUGUGUUCACAUUACUCAAAUCAAAUACUACUAUAGAGAACCUAGUGGCGACUUGUUUAUGAAGCUAUUAGAACUGAAAAUGUUAUAACAACGAAAAAACAGAGAAUAUAAUUUACACUUGAUUCUCUUAUGUCGAGACUUCAUGAAAUCACUUUUCAUAAUAGAAAGGAUUUUCAUUUUUCAAAAAAUAGAAAAUGUGGAGUACAUUGGUAAGAAACUUUUGAGUUGAAGGAUUUCAAGGAGAAACGACAUCUUCUCCUAAUCAUAAAGCAAGUAUUUUAAGAAUUUGUCAAACCUUUGAAAUAUCUCUCAAAAAAUCUUCCUACUACCUGGAGAUAGGAGUUGAUUUCCUCCUUUAUGGUGUCUUGCACUUCGAUCAUUUUGUAAGUAAUAUCCUUAUUUGUCAGAUUUAAUUAGUAAAUGCUUUUGUGUCUGCGGUAUGUCACUUUACCUCUUAACCUACAAUCUCUGUUUCGGCAAUACACCAUCUACGAUAAAUUUCACUGUUAGUUCUUUUCUUUUAUCAUGAGACCAAUUAUAUAUAGUCACUUGUCUUACCUUGUCCUCUGUCAAUAAUAUUAGGACUUCGAGAGACAAAGGUGAAAUUAAAAGAAGGAACUUCUUUUAGGAAUAAAAUGGCAUUAAAAUCUCUAUAUUCCUUUUCUUAAUUAUUAUCAAAUCAAAUAGCUUACUACUUUUUGAACUUGGGGAACAUUAUAAAGACAUGAAAUAACAUACAAGACAUGAAAAUGACACCAUUGUAAGAGCUAAUGUUCACUGGUUCUAACAGAUACUUUAACAUUUCAUGAGUUCCCAUUAAAUAUAGAGGCAACUAAUAUAUUAUAAAGAGAUGCGGCAGAACACCAUCAAAACCAGAUCAUUCUUUAGCCACUACAUAACAUUGGCAUAUUCAUAGACAGCAGAAAAUAUAACCACUUAGAUAAUUUCAUUUGCGUGCUAAAAACAACUUACCAUUAAACUCUCCGCAAAGCUUGUCCUAUUGGUACCCUUUAGCCAAAAUCGCUUCCCCUUAUUCUUCAUUUUUCCUCGGACAAUGAAUCUAUUUAGUCAUGGCACAAAAACAAUAUGAAUUAUUUUUCUUGUAAGAAUUAACUAAAUUAACAUAAGGGAACCAUGAAUGAAGUUGAAAGGCACAUAAAAUUGAGAUUUUUUUGCUAAGUCUCAACAAUAAUGCAAAGAUAUUCUGACUUUCUAACUAUUGCACUUCUUCAAAUAGCUGGUGUGUGUUAAAAAUAUAAACAUAAGAUAAAUGUAAAGAAUCAUAACCAUAAUACAAAAUACAGAAAAUAUAUAGUUUAUACAUAAUUCUAUCAUUGUGACACUCCUAUUAUGUGUUAUCAUGUUAUGUGAUGCUCUUCUUUUAAGACAAAAUUUCAACAUUUUGCUUGUUCACAUGAUAAGUCAAAUGUAAUAGUGAGAUGAUUAAAGAAAGUAAGCUCACGAAAUAUCAUGUCUUCACAUAUAGGCUCUUUCUUAUAUAUUAUUUUUACAUCUUCCGCUACCUACUCCAUGUAAACAUAGUAAGAUGACAUUAGAUGCACUCACGAAAAAUGGUUAAUAGGACAGAAGGUGUGAUAGAUAAACUUUAGGGUAGAACUUCCUAUUACCACAGAAUACCAGCAAUCCAUUCCUAUGAUCUCACACAACAACUUUAGAAUGCCUAAUUUAAAAAAUAAAUAAAAGAAUAAUUUGUACUUGAUGCAUAUCGUCAAAAACUUUGC